ACUGGCUUGGCCUUUGCAGCGGUCUUGCGCAUAGUGACACGGGCCUCACCAAAGAGAGCUGAUGAAGCCACGUUCUUCACUGACUCGCCGGCUAAGGCCGAGGAGAGGGACAUGGUGGUAGUCGCCAUUGCGCUGCUAAGGCGGGAGGUGUAUUGUGUGUUCCAAACAGUGAAAACUGAAGAGUGAGUGUGGAGAUGGUUUGAGACGAGUGGAGGAUGGAGCUAUUUAAGGAACUGAUUGAGCUCUGGUCUGUGUGUACCGACAAGAUAGAUAUAGACAGGAAAAAAAUCUUUGAUCUUCGAUGCUAUUCGUGCAGCAGUGAUCUCGUCAUCCCUCAGGACGUGGCAACUUGAGACCCAGAGAAAGGAGAUAUGUUGUGGCUAGGCCUAGGAUCUUGAUGGAGAAUGGAGACGUGUGAUUGGACGAUGGAUCACAUGUUGAUUCUCACAUCAUCAGCUCACGGUCUGCAUGCAACGAGAUAGUAAACUUGUCUCUGAUGAAGUGGGUAGCCCAAGUGUGGUCAAGAAAGUGAUGGCAAUUUUAGGCCAUACGAUGAUUACUUCGUAGAUAUUUAUUGAAACCGUACUGAAGUUUGGUAUUUACCGAGACCGAACCUUAGUCAUAACUUCGUAUUUUGGUCCCUGGCACGUCCGACCGACAAUGUUCGACAAGCUUUGACGCCGUCAGUGACUUUGUGAGGUUACGUCUCCCUGGAUUUUGGGUGCCCGUCUUCUUUUCUCUGGGACGGCGAUUUGCGUUUCAGAUCAUCGUCGCCAGUGUCUUCUAGCUCCGAUCAACGACUUCCGGCUACCGCCUCAACAACGUUUUCCUGACUCGAUGGUGUUUGGUGGUCCAUAGGUGGUAUUGAGUUUCGCUCACUGCGCGUUGUUGACGAGUGCAGGAGGAAGGUGGUGUGGAUUUUCCCAAGAACCUAUGUGUAAUUUUAAAUUUCUACAAGAAUGACUUUGUAAGGGUCAAUUGAUUUCAAUACAUGACCGUCGCCUUUUGGAAAAAAAAUAAGAUCUUAUUUAUCGACUUAACCAAAUGCGCAGCCCUGCUGGCAAACACAGAGCCGGGCAUUUCUCCGUAAAAAAGAAAGAAUAAAAAGAGAGAGCCGGACAUUUUGUAGAACUUAAAUAAUCCCCGAAAAACCCUGGUUUCAAAGAUGACACUAGAGGGACAGCGCUUCGCCGCGCCCGGCGUUAGGUGCAUAAUUUGUAGUAGAUUUUAGGCGGGUCUCCAAUGUAGAGUUGUUGAGUUGCUAAGGCCCGCAUAUGUAGGCGUCAAAUCUUUCUUUUUCUGCUGAUGUCUCAAGCGCGUUCAGUCAAUCGUGGAGUGGAGACUGAUUCUUGGUUAAGUUAUCCAUGUCUUUCAGCCAUGAUAGCCCAACAAAGAGGCCUAAAUACACGAACAUCACAGAAAGAUGAACAACCACUGAAAAAUGAAGCACAAUCUGGCAGACAAACAACAAUAUUCAGAACAUAUGUGAAGGAGCAUCAGAGUUAGUUCAGUAAACAUCCAUAAGCAAACAUCUCCCCAAAUGUGAAGCAUACAUAUACAAAUCCAAAAGGACCAGUGAUCCCAUAGCAAGCACAUUGCAGCUGCAAAAUCAAUGAGAACUGCUAUACAGACGACAUUCACAGAUGAUUUCAGCAUGACACUCCAUCUCACACCAUCCAUUCAAGACGCCAAUGUACAGAAAGUUGUUGGAUUUGACAUCGGCUCAGGAUCGUGCAAGCAAAUGUCUGUGAAGUAGUUUCGAAAUCAAUCAACCAACAGUGGGCCCAUACUGCAGUAGGGCCACUCCACAGGGGCCAAAACACACCACGGGUCUACACAAACAGGAAGCAGCAUCAAACGGGCUCUCCGAACAGACAGCAUGAUCAUGAUGGUCGAUGGGCCAUAAGAAAAUGAGAGCAUAAGUUGCCAUCACCAAGAGCAACUUCUGAUUAAAUAACGGCCAAGUAUUUAUCGUUCUCAAUUUCUCAUGGAAAAACAAAUAGCCCAAAUUUUAUCGUUCUCAUUUCUCAUGGAGCAACGCACAGGCUACAUCCAGGACAUGAAACAAGCGGGCAGAUCAAACCAUUUCCCCAACGAUCCUUGUAAUUUACACCAUGAUGUUACAAUUUGAACCACAUAUUAUGUGUGCAGUUCACCGCAGUUUCCUUGAUGGGUACAACUCGCAGCUAGCGAGCGCCAACGCCUCACUUGCCGGGAACAAAGUUUGUGGCAAACGCCCAUGCGUUGUUGUUGACGGGGUCGGAGAGGUGGUCAGCAAGGUUCUCGAGUGGGCCCUUACCGGUGACAAUGGCCUGCACGAAGAAGCCAAACAUAGAGAACAUGGCGAGGCGGCCGUUCUUGACUUCCUUCACCUUGAGCUCUGCAAAUGCCUCGGGGUCAUCAGCCAGGCCCAACGGGUCGAAGCUGCCACCAGGGUAGAGUGGGUCGACUAUCUCACCAAGUGGGCCCCCGGCAACGCGGUACCCCUCAACGGCACCCAUGAGCACGACUUGGCAUGCCCAAAUAGCAAGGAUGCUCUGUGCAUGCACGAGGCUGGGGUUGCCCAGGUAGUCGAGGCCACCCUCGCUGAAGAUUUGGGAGCCGGCCUUGAACCACACGGCCUCACCGAACUUAACACCAUUGCGUGCAAGAAGCUCGGGGAAGACGCAUCCGAGCGCACCGAGCAUGGCCCACCGGCAGUGGAUCACCUCGAGCUCCCGGUUCUUGGCAAAGGUCUCGGGGUCGGCCGAGAGCCCCGCGGUGUCCCACCCGUAGUCGCCGGGGAACUCGCCGGUCAAGUAGCUCGGAGGGUCGCCGGAAAGCGGGCCGAGGUAGAGCACACGGUCGGCACCGUACCAUGGGCUGCCUGAUGAAACCUGCUUGGCCUUUGCAGCGGUCUUGCGCAUAGUGACACGGGCCUCACCAAAGAGAGCUGAUGAAGCCACGUUCUUCACCGACUUGCCGGCGAAGGUCGAGGAGAGGGACAUGGUGGUGGUCGCCAUUGCGCUGCUAAGGCGGAAUGUGUAUUGUGUGUUCCAAACAGUGAAAACUGAAGAGUGGGUGUGGAGAUGGUUUGAGACGAGUGGAGGAUGGAGCUAUUUAAGGAACUGGAGGGGUUGAGGCAUUGAGCUCUGGUCUGUUUGUACCGACAAGAUUGAUAUAGACAGGAAAAAAUCUUGACCUUCGAUGCUAUUGGUGCAGUAGAGAUCUCGUCAUCCCUCAGGACGUGGCAACGUGAGACCCAAAGAAAGGAGAUAUGUUGUGGCUAGGCCUAGGAUCUUGUUGGAGAUUGGAGAUGUAUGAUUGGAUGAUGGAUCACAUGUUGAUUCUCACAUCAUCACGGUCUGCAUGCAACGAGAAAAUAAACUUGUUUCUGAUGAAGUAGGUAGCGCAAGUGUGGUCAAGAAAGUGAUGGCAAUUUUAGGCCAUACGAUGAUUACUAGAGAUUAUUGAAACCUUCCUGAAGUUUGGUAUUUACCGAGACCAAACCUUAGUCAUAACUUCGUGGUUUGGUCCAUGGCACGUCCGACCAACAAUGUUCGACAAGCUUUGACGCCAUCAGUGACUUUGUGAGGUUAUGUCUCCUGGAUUUUGGAUGGCCGUCUUCUUUUCUCUGGGACGGCAAUUUGUGUUUUAGAUCAUCAUUGGCAGCAUCUUCUAGCUUCGAUCGACGACUUCCAGCUGCCGCAUCAACAACAUUUGUCUGACUCCGAUGGUGUUUUGCUGGUCCAUAGGCAGUAUCUAGUUCCGCUCACGGCGCGUCGUCGACGAGUGUAGGAGAAAGGUGGUGUGGAUUUUCCCAAAAACCUAUGUUUAAUUUUAAAUUUUUACAAGAAUGACUUUGUAAGGGUCAAUUGUUUUCAAUACAUGACCUUCGUCUUUUGGAAAAAAUAAGAUACGACUUAACCAAAUUAAAUGCGCAGCCCAAAGACAGAGCGGGGCAUUUCUCCGUAAAAAAAUAAAGAAUAAAAAGAGAGAGCCGGACAUUUUGUAACACUUAAAUGAUCCCCCGAAAAACCCUGGUUUCAAAGAUGAUACUAGAGGGGACGCCGCGCUUCGCCGCGCCCGGCGUUAGGUGCAUAAUUUGUAGGAGAUUUUAGGCGGGCCUGCCCAUGUAGAGUUGUUGAGUUGCUAAGAGCAUCUCCAGCCGUUGGCCCCCCAGGGGGCGCCUAAAAUUGCCGCCUGGGGGUGACCCAGCGAAAAAAAUGGGCCUGGGGGCGAGUUGGCCCCCAGCCGCCGCCCCCAGGGCCGGCCCCAGACGCGGGGAAAAAAAUUGUGUAGCAAAUUUACGCAAAGUUCGGCUAAAACACGCCAAAUUUCGGCAAACUUGGACUUAUAUUCGCGGAUUUAAGUCGAGUAGUCGCCAUUACAUAUAAAAACUAAUAAAAAAAACUUGCUGAAGGCCGAGAAGUCGCCGUCGUCGCCACCAUCGUCGGCCUUCUCCUCCUUGACUCAGGCGCCCCUGCUGGACCCCUCCCCGGCUGGUGGCGGCGGCGGCGCGUCGUCGUCGUCGUCGCUGUCGUCGAUGAUGACGACUCCUCCUUCGUCACGGCCUCGGCGGCGCUGCUCGAAGCGCCGCAGGGCGGCGCGCUGGUGCUCUGUCGCCAUCUUGAUGGAGUCCUGGCGUGCCCAUUCAAGGGCCGCGUCGUCGUCGAGCUCGACCUCGCCGUGCUCCGUCUUCACUGGCGCCAGCCCCGGCUCCGUCUUUGGCUUGACGAAGCGCGGAGGAGGAGCCGACGAGGAGGCGCGCCGGCCGCCCUCGUUGAUGACGAUGCCGGGCUCGGCCUUGACGCCGAGCAGCGUCGGAGUGCCGGAGGAGUGGGAAGAGGAGCGGGAGGACGAAGAGGAGGAGGACGCACCGAACCUCCUUGGCGCCCAUUGCCCGUCGCGUCGGUGGUGCGCCGGGGCGGCCGCCCUCGCCGGGGGGUACGCCAACGGCGGGUUGUUGCCGCCCUCGAGGUGCGUCAGCACGCCCUGAAGUGUGCGGCCGGGGGCGCCCCACCACAGGUGGCGCCCCUCGCUGUUCUUCACGCCGCCGACCACCGGCGCCCCAUUGGUGGACGCCAGCCGCUGCUGCUGGCGACGCUCGAAGUACGCCGCCCAAGCCGCGUGGUUGUCGGCGGCGUACUGGGGGAGGGAGAGCUCGGCGUCGGUGAGGGAGGCGCGCACGAUCUCGACCUCGUCGGCGAAGUAGGAUGGUUUGGCCACGGCGUCGGGCAACGGGGGAAUGGGCACUCCCCCAUUGCUGAGCCUCCAGCCCGUCGGCCCGGCGCGCAUGUCCGGCGGCGCCGGGAUGUUCGCCUGGAACAGGAGCCAGGACUCCUGUUCGCGGAGCGAACGGCGGCCGAAGCCGUUGGUCGCCGCCUCGUCUCCGGGGAAACGCUCGGCCAUCGGGGAGAUGGAGUGGCUGAGGAGAAGAGAUCAGCGGCGGCGCUCGGGAGAUGGAGUGGCUGGGGGAGAAGAAGAGAUCGGCGGCGGCGCUCGGGAGAGGGAGGGAUGGGGGAGAAGAGCUCGGCGGCGGCGCUCGGGAGAGGUGGAGAGGUGGCACUCAUCACAGGCGAGCGAGGCCAUAUAUAGCCGCGCCGCGUCCGUGUGUACGCGUCCGUGGGAGGGGAGGCGUCGGCACGCCGCCCCGUGAACGCGCCGCCCGUGAGGAAUCAAUGGCAAAGCUGACCGGCGGCAGCCUUGCCAUUGAUUCCCCGCGGGAAACCGAGGCGUCGGGAGAAGACGAGGCGGGCGGUGUCGCUGACACGGCCGGCCCGCAGCGCUUUCGCGCCAAAAACGAUUCGCCCGGCGCCCCCAGCGCGCCGGUUCGGGUUGGGUCCGCCGGCGCCAAUUUCAGCCCGAGCUGGCAAAAAAGGGCCCCUGGGGACGUGACUGGGCCGAUUUUUUGGCGCCGGUGGCCGAAAAAUCGCCUGGGGGGCCUUGUUGGGGGCGCGGCUGGAGAUGCUCUAAGGCCCGCGUAUGUAGGCGUCAAAUCUUUCUUUUUCUCCUGAUGUCUCACGCACGUUCAGUCAAUCGUGGAGUGGAGACUGAUUUGUGGUUAAGUUGUCCAUCUCUUUCAGCCAUGACAGCCCAACAAAGAGGCCUAAAUACACGAACAUCAAGAAAGAUGAACAACCACUGAAAAAUAAAGCACAAUCUGGCAGACAAACAACAAUAUUCAGAACAUAUGUGAAGGAGCAUCAGAGUUAGUUCAGUAAACAUCCAUAAGCAAACAUCUCCCCAAAUGUGAAGCAUACAUAUACAAAUCCAAAAGUAGGACCACUGAUCCCAUAGCAAGCACAUUGCAGCUGCAAAAUCAAUCAAACAACUCUCAAACUGAGCAUCCCAACCUAAACACCUGCAUACAUGCCUGCUCCUCAAAAUCCCGAACAAAAUACAAAGGAAAGCACAGGAGGCCAAAUGUCAGCAGAGACGUCGCCAACAGAUGAUGCAUUGAACCCACACAGAAGAAGAGCAACCAGCAACACGCGAAGGGCACGGCCACGGCCACCAAGGCGGCGGGCAGAGCCACAACGGCGGCAGCAGGUGACCCCAAAUCAAGGAGCACUCACCACAAAGCAAGCCUCUCACGAACACGGAAGUUCACGGCAGAAAACAAACCCCAAAUCAAGGAACACCGACCAACAAAAAAAAAUGGCCCAUACUACUUCCUCAAAAAAAAAAAAUGGCCCAUACUACAGUAGGGCCACUCCACAGGGGCCAAAACACACCACGGGGCCACACAAACAGGAAGCAUCAUCAAACGGGCUCUCCGAACAGAGACAACAUGAUCAUGAUGGUCGAUGGACCAUAAGAAAAUGAGAGCAUAAGUUGCCAUCACCAAGAGCGACUUCUGAUUAAAUAACGGCCAAGUAUUUAUCGUUCUCCAUUUCUAAUGGAAAAACAAAUAGCCCAAGUAUUCAUCGUUCUCAUUUCUCAUGGAGCAACACACAGGCUACAUCCAGGACAUGAAGCAAGCGGGCAGAUCAAACCAUUUCCCCAACGAUCCUUGUAAUUUACACCAUGAUGUUACAAUUUGAACCACACAUUAUGUGUGCAGUUCUCCGCAGUUGCCUUGAUGGCUACAACUCGCAGCUAGCGAGCGCCGACUCCUCACUUGCCGGGAACAAAGUUUGUGGCAAACGCCCAUGCGUUGUUGUUGACAGGGUCGAAGAGGUGGUCGGCGAGGUUCUCGAGUGGGCCCUUGCCGGUGACGAUGGCCUGCACGAAGAAGCCAAACAUAGAGAACAUGGCGAGGCGGCCGUUCUUGACUUCCUUCACCUUGAGCUCCGCAAAUGCCUCUGGAUCGUCGGCCAGGCCCAGUGGGUCGAAGCUGCCGCCGGGGUAGAGUGGGUCAACUACCUCACCGAGUGGGCCGCCGGCAAUGCGGUACCCCUCAACGGCGCCCAUGAGCACGACUUGGCAUGCCCAUAUAGCAAGGAUGCUUUGUGCGUGCACGAGGCUGGGGUUGCCUAGGUAGUCGAGGCCACCCUCGCUGAAGAUCUGGGAACCGGCCUUGAACCAUACAGCCUCGCCGAACUUGACGCCGUUGCGUGCAAGAAGCUCGGGGAAGACGCAUCCGAGCGCACCGAGCAUGGCCCACCGGCAGUGGAUCACCUCGAGCUCCCGGUUCUUGGCAAAGGUCUCGGGGUCGGCCGAGAGCCCGGCGGUGUCCCACCCGUAGUCGCCUGGGAAUUCGCCGGUCAAGUAGCUCGGGGGCUCUCCGGAAAGCGGGCCGAGGUAGAGCACACGGUCGGCACCGUACCACGGGCUGCCUGAUGAAACCGGCUUGGCCUUUGCAGCGGUCUUGCGCAUAGUGACACGGGCCUCACCAAAGAGAGCUGAUGAAGCCACGUUCUUCGCCGACUUGCCGGCGAAGGCCGAGGAGAGGUACAUGGUGGUAGUCGCCAUUGUGCAACUAAGGCGGGAGGUGUAUUGUGUGUUCCAAACAGUGAAAACUGAAGAGUGAGUGUGGAGAUGGUUUGAGACGAGUGGAGGAUGGAGCUAUUUAAGGAACUGGAGCUAAUAUAGGGGAUUGAGC
This 8026-nucleotide long non-coding RNA is filed under the name Triticum aestivum (bread wheat). Its description in RNAcentral is "long non-coding RNA (TAES_LNC019728)". Lineage: Eukaryota; Viridiplantae; Streptophyta; Magnoliopsida; Poales; Poaceae. The record is from RNAcentral.